Molecule: ribosomal RNA, 590 nt
Filed under: uncultured bacterium
Lineage: Bacteria
Description: bacterial SSU rRNA
Rfam family: Bacterial small subunit ribosomal RNA
Source: RNAcentral
GUAGCGGUGGAAUGCGCAGAUAUCAGGAGGAACACCGAUGGCGAAGGCAGAUCUCUGGGCCGAACUGACGCUGAGGAGCGAAAGGGUGGGGAGCAAACAGGCUUAGAUACCCUGGUAGUCCACCCCGUAAACGUUGGGAACUAGUUGUGGGGCCGUGACGCAGCUAACGCAUUAAGUUCCCCGCCUGGGGAGUACGGCCGCAAGGCUAAAACUCAAAGGAAUUGACGGGGACCCGCACAAGCGGCGGAGCAUGCGGAUUAAUUCGAUGCAACGCGAAGAACCUUACCAAGGCUUGACAUACAGGUGGUGCAUGGUUGUCGUCAGCUCGUGUCGUGAGAUGUUGGGUUAAGUCCCGCAACGAGCGCAACCCUCGUUCUAUGUUGCAACUCAUGGGAUACUGCCGGGGUCAACUCGGAGGAAGGUGGGGAUGACGUCAAAUCAUCAUGCCCUUAUGUCUUGGGCUUCACGCAUGCUACAAUGGCCGGUACAAAGGGCUGCAAUACCGUGAGGUGGAGCGAAUCCCAAAAAGCCGGUCCCAGUUCGGAUUGAGGUCUGCAACUCGACCUCAUGAAGUCGGAGUCGCUAGUAAU